RNAcentral lists this ribosomal RNA (253 nucleotides) under uncultured bacterium. RNAcentral describes it as "partial 16S ribosomal RNA". It matches the Rfam family "Bacterial small subunit ribosomal RNA", at positions 524 to 776 of the family's 1533-position model. The record is from RNAcentral.
UACAGAGGGUGCAAGCGUUGUUCGGAAUUAUUGGGCGUAAAGCGCGCGUAGGCGGCCACUUAAGUCGGAUGUGAAAGCCCCUGGCUCAACUGGGGAAGUGCACCCGAAACUGAAUGGCUUGAAUGCAAAAGAGGGUCGCGGAAUUCCCGGUGUAGAGGUGAAAUUCGUAGAUAUCCGGAGGAACACCGGUGGCGAAGGCGGCUUCCUGGACCGACACUGACGCUGAGGCGCGAAAGCUAGGGGAGCAAACGGG